Molecule: ribosomal RNA, 253 nt
Filed under: uncultured bacterium
Lineage: Bacteria
Description: partial 16S ribosomal RNA
Rfam family: Bacterial small subunit ribosomal RNA
Source: RNAcentral
UACGUAGGGGGCAAGCGUUGUCCGGAUUUAUUGGGCGUAAAGAGCGUGUAGGCGGCCAUACAGGUCAGCUGUGAAAACUCGAGGCUCAACCUCGAGACGUCGGUUGAAACCGUAUGGCUAGAGUCCGGAAGAGGAGAGUGGAAUUCCCGGUGUAGCGGUGAAAUGCGCAGAUAUCGGGAAGAACACCCGUGGCGAAGGCGGCGACCUGGUCCGAUACUGACGCUGAGGCGCGAAAGCGUGGGGAGCAAACAGG